This 211-nucleotide long non-coding RNA is filed under the name Lathyrus oleraceus (garden pea). Its description in RNAcentral is "Pisum sativum (pea) long non-coding RNA (PSAT_LNC031922)". Lineage: Eukaryota; Viridiplantae; Streptophyta; Magnoliopsida; Fabales; Fabaceae. The record is from RNAcentral.
AUUUUUCAAUAACUAAUUUUUAAUAAUAUAAAAUAAAAUUGUUUGCAAUAAAAUGUAUUUAAUCAGCAUUGGAUUCUUUCUUUUUUUGCAAUUGGACAACUCACUCAUAACGCCUCUCUCCCUCUCUCAACGUCUUCACACUCACACAACACACGCCUCUCUUCUCUCUCCUUUCUCUCUCACAAGCGACAAAAAAAAGGAAAAAAUAAAA